Pavo cristatus (Indian peafowl) is the source of this 1740-nucleotide long non-coding RNA. NCBI's taxonomy places the organism in Eukaryota, Metazoa, Chordata, Aves, Galliformes, Phasianidae. The record is from Ensembl.
GGAUGAUGAGGCACCAGCUAUUGCCUAAUUAGCGAGCUUGGAGGCUUUGCUGUGUGGGAAGAGAUUCAGCGAGGGCUCAGGGAGGGGGAGAUGUGUGGCUGCCUGCUGGCAGCACCUUCCAGGUCCCCUGGCCCUCCUCGGCCAGGUGCUGUCACCUCGAGCCUUGCCUCAGCCCCAGCCAAGGCCCAGGGCAGUGUCUUUAUGGGUCACUCGUGCUUGUGACAAGCUUUGACACAAGAGUUCGGGCUCUGCGGAUAGAUCAGUCUUGCCGCUGUGUGGGAUUCACUCUGUGGAUGUGGGAUGGCUGUAAGAAGCGUGUGGGGGGCUCUGAUGUUGAACUUAGCAGCGGGGAAGAGGGACAGAGUGGGUCUGUAUGGGUGGGAUGAAGGUAAAGGAGGAAAGCUGGUGCUUUGCUGUGCCACACUGUGCCGUGCCUUUGGGCUGCUGCGCUGUGCAGCACUGCGUGGCAUCUUGUGGUGCCAUGCUGUGCCAUGCAUUGGAGCACCAGGACCCCGUGUUCCCAUUCUGGGGUGCUGGAUGGGAGUCGUGGGAUUCGGGAGAUGAGAGCAGUGCUUGCAGGCUCUGCACAGGGGACAAAGCAUGGGGGCUGAUCGCUGCUCGUAUACCAAGAGCCGUGUCCAGGCACUGAUGUCCAUGGCACACAUAGGGCCACCAGCAGAACGGGGACCCUCCUGCGAGGGCUCCCUGCCUCAGUUUCCCCAUUGGCAGCAGGAAUCGCUGCAUUGCUUCAGUGCUGCGAAGGGCGUGGGGCGGGAUGCGGGCGCUGCGUUGCGGACAGAAGGGGCACAAUGGGACAAGGGCGGCUCGGGGCCGAGUCCCCCGGCAUCCCGCAGGCUCCGUGCCGAGCCGAGCAGCGCCGAGCCGUGCCGAGGGCGGGCGCUGCGGCCGUGCCUGCGGGAGGAGUCCCUUCUGCGGUGCCGCCCCCCGGUGCCGCCCCCGGCCAGCAGAGCCAGGCCGGGCACCGCCGCUUUCAGCCGCGCCGAGCCGAGCCGAGCCGGGCUGAGCCACGCUGGGGCAGCGGCCAUGUACGGAUGUGUGCAGAGUGAGGAAGGGCAGACCGUCCCUGUGGGGACCUGAAUGUGAAUCUGAGGACAAACGCCAGGCUGGUCCCUUCCCCAGCAGCGGCUUGCAGUCUUGGAAAGCAUCCAGAAGCUGGAAAGCUCUGUGGGAUACUUUGGAUGAAAGGUGCAUUAGGAAUGCACGGGAUUAUUGGUAUCUUUUUAAUCUCUCUUUUAACUGUCUCUUGGCCUGUGGGAAGGAUUAGAUGGGUAACUGGGGAUAGUUUUUUCUCUAGGCAGAACAAAGCAAUGCAGGAGAAUUGGUCCAUUGCAGGGGGACCUGCAUGCCUCCCUGGGAGGUGUGUGGAGGGGCAGCACUGGGAGCACAUGCCACCCUCCUCCCUGCACGUUCCCUCUGAUCCCGCAGUGCUGGCACCCCGCACAGAGCUAGCAUCUGUGUUCACAAGCUGCUGCAGAACCAUGCCUACUUUCUGCCCACUUUGGGUUCCUUUCACAGCUACUGGUGAAAAUGGGAGAGCCAAGCUUCGACCCCAGCUGUGCCAGACCCAGCAUGGGUGGCUGAUGUCAUGCUAGCUGAGAGUGCAGUUCUGUGAGCCAAACUGUCUCUGGUGGGAGCUCACUGUCCUGAGCCAUGCUUGGAGAUUAGCUUCUCCUUGGGGUAUUUUACAGUGCAGGAGCUAGAACGCUGCUGGUGGGCUUU